CCUCGCGCAGUUGGUGCGGCUGAUAUCAGAUUAGCUUGAUGGUGAGGUAAAAGCUCACCAAGGCGACGUUCUGUAGCUGGUUUGAGAGAACGACCACCCACACUGGGACUGAGACACGGCCCAGACUCCUACGGCAGGCAGCAGUGGGGAAUUUUGGACAAUGGGCGAAAGCCUGAUCCAGGAAUGCCGCGUGGAGGAAGAAGGCCUUCGGGUUGUAAUCUGCUUUUGUACGGAACGAAACGGUCCGCUUUAAUACAGUGGGCUAAUGACGGUACCGUAAGAAUAAGCACCGGCUAACUACGUGCCAGCAGCCGCGGUAAUACGUAGGGUGCGAGCGUUAAUCGGAAUUACUGGGCGUAAAGCGUGCGCAGGCGGUUAUAUAAGACAGUUGUGAAAUCCCCGGGCUCAACCUGGGAAUUGCAUCUGUGACUGUAUAGCUAGAGUACGGUAGAGGGGGAUGGAAUUCCCCGUGUAGCAGUGAAAUGCGUAGUUAUGCGGAGGAACACCGAUGGCGAAGGCAAUCCCCUGGACCAGUACUGACGCUCAUGCACGAAAGCGUGGCGAGCAAA
This 569-nucleotide ribosomal RNA is filed under the name uncultured bacterium. Its description in RNAcentral is "bacterial SSU rRNA". It matches the Rfam family "Bacterial small subunit ribosomal RNA", at positions 211 to 772 of the family's 1533-position model. The record is from RNAcentral.